UUGCGCAAAAACAAAAACCUCAAUCAAAACACAAACGCUUUUGAAGUUUUGAAUUCAGUUUUAACCAAAAUUCAGCCAUUUUGUGAAAUUUAAUUCUUUUCUUUCGGUGUUCGUUUUGUCGUAUGUCUUUUAAUUUGGUUAAUUAAUUCGUUUAGUUCGGUUUCGUGGUUCAUGUUAUUUAUUUUUUAUUAUUUUACUAUAUUAUUGGAGUCUUAUUCGUGAUUUAUAGUGCGGUAAAAGUGUAGGUACUCAAGAAUAUCGAUGGCAGUAUCGGUAAUGGGCUUCAUCGAAAGAAGCAUCAAGAUUGCACAUGAACUUUAGUCAUCAAGAUUUCAGUAUUCUGCAUUUCGGUCGGCGAAGUUGAGCGUAUCUUUUCGGUAUUGGAAAUUCAUCCUCGAUCGCCCUCAAUGAUUAUGCAGACGAUUCGCCGACUGUUCGCAUGCUUGAUAUACGUCGCGUUGUGAAUGUGUACGAGUAUUCGGCCUUAUUAAGAUUAUCAGCUUUUUAAUCACUUCUCGCCGCCUCGUCUUUGGAAUUACAACUAUGUUUUCUCAAAAUGCUGCAUCGACUCGAUCGCGUGAGAAAUUUGAACCCGCAGAUCUCAAUAUUCGAAUAAUCCACUCCACACUCCGAUAAACAGCAGUCGUCAUUUUCUGGAAGGAAAUUCUCGUGUCAACGUGUGGUUGCUGAUGAUUACGAUGCCAGGAGAUUAGUUUAUGCUGAUAUUCCAACGGUUAUGUUUUGAGGGCGUUUCAAAGAUUUUCAGAUUUGCAGAACAGGUGGCUGGAUGAUUGUGUAAUUGAAAAGAGACACAUCUGCUGUGUACCUUGGUGUAUGGGAUAUGGCACCGUCGAGUUUUGUCAUCGUGUCAAGAAGGUGGCUCUUUGCUGUGCGGACGUUUGAAAAUGGAAAUUCCCCGUCGACGAUGGUGCUGGUUGAUUAUCGAGAAAACCAUUCUAGGGGCUAACCAAACGCACCCCAGGUUUGCUGUAAACUGAGAAGCUGAGAACGCUCGAAUCCACUAUCUAAAUGAAAAAGAGGGUUUUUGGUA
Molecule: long non-coding RNA, 1051 nt
Organism: Planococcus citri (citrus mealybug)
Lineage: Eukaryota; Metazoa; Arthropoda; Insecta; Hemiptera; Pseudococcidae
Exons: 7
Source: RefSeq, a predicted model, not a curated record